GAUGAACGCUGGCGGCGUGCCUAAUACAUGCAAGUCGAGCGAACAGAUAAGGAGCUUGCUCCUUUGACGUUAGCGGCGGACGGGUGAGUAACACGUGGGUAACCUACCUAUAAGACUGGGAUAACUUCGGGAAACCGGAGCUAAUACCGGAUAACAUUUGGAACCGCAUGGUUCUAAAGUGAAAGAUGGUUUUGCUAUCACUUAUAGAUGGACCCGCGCCGUAUUAGCUAGUUGGUAAGGUAACGGCUUACCAAGGCAACGAUACGUAGCCGACCUGAGAGGGCGAUCGGCCACACUGGAACUGAGACACGGUCCAGACUCCUACGGGAGGCAGCAGUAGGGAAUCUUCCGCAAUGGGCGAAAGCCUGACGGAGCAACGCCGCGUGAGUGAUGAAGGGUUUCGGCUCGUAAAACUCUGUUAUUAGGGAAGAACAAAUGUGUAAGUAACUGUGCACGUCUUGACGGUACCUAAUCAGAAAGCCACGGCUAACUACGUG
RNAcentral lists this ribosomal RNA (497 nucleotides) under uncultured bacterium. RNAcentral's name for it is "partial 16S ribosomal RNA". It matches the Rfam family "Bacterial small subunit ribosomal RNA", at positions 28 to 507 of the family's 1533-position model. The record is from RNAcentral.